Molecule: long non-coding RNA, 256 nt
Filed under: Homo sapiens (human)
Lineage: Eukaryota; Metazoa; Chordata; Mammalia; Primates; Hominidae
Description: non-protein coding lnc-ESM1-3:5
Source: RNAcentral
AGACCAGGGCAUCUACAGCUGCAGAGGCCAGGGUGCUCUGAGACAAGGAUGAGAUGAAUCCUCACAGGCUUAGGGAAAGCAGACACUGAGGAGGAGGCCAGACACAGACAUCAUGAGAGGACUGUGCAGCAGCUCACUGGAGCAUCUCAGGCACCCAAGGAACUCGUGGAAACAACUGUGCAAGGCCCAGGUGGAGGAAUAGAGAACCUGCAGUUAUUCUGGAAGAGGGCAGGUGGCUUAAAAUGAAUUGUCAGCU